Molecule: non-coding RNA, 112 nt
Organism: Acanthosepion pharaonis
Lineage: Eukaryota; Metazoa; Mollusca; Cephalopoda; Sepiida; Sepiidae
Source: the annotation of a GenBank genome assembly
UUACGUCCAUAUCACGUUGAAAAACCAGUUCCUGUACGAACAUCGAAGUUAAGUAAUGUCGAGUCUAGUCAGUACCUAAACGGGUUACCGCUUGGGAAUACCAGGUGUUAUA